Molecule: long non-coding RNA, 679 nt
Organism: Acanthopagrus latus (yellowfin seabream)
Lineage: Eukaryota; Metazoa; Chordata; Actinopteri; Spariformes; Sparidae
Exons: 3
Source: RefSeq, a predicted model, not a curated record
AGCGAGCGGCACUUCUGCCGUCCUGCGUGGCGGGGGAGCGUGAUGCAGAGACAGACGGAGAGUAAUAGAUAUGGAAACCAGAGGUGGAGGAAUGCAGAUACCACUGAGCGACUCUGCUUGUGUUCCCUGCAUGAUAAAUAGUUGGUUAGAGACCAGAUGGAAGGAGAGAGGGGAGACGAUAAAAGCACUCAUCAUUUGUUUGAACGGCGAAAAAACGGGUUGUCUUCGGAAAGAUGGCGGCAUCUCGACCAUUUCUGUGUCUCAGUUCAGGGUCUGCGUCCUUCAGAGGAGCAUCUGAAGGGUUGCGGUGGAGCUGAAGAGGCAGAGUACGCCUGAGUGUGUUGCCAGUUAAUCACGGGGCGAGCACAGAUGCUCCGCUUCUGCUCGCAUUCACACGUUUGAGAUACUUAAGAGUCGACCGUGAACCUGACCUGCAGAGGAGGAACCCAGGGGAUCUUUUCUUAACGCUGAGCAAUUAAGCGAUGGAGCAGUUUUCUAACGAGUGGGUGCCUGUUUUGUUUCGUCAUGCGUGCAGGUGACAAACACAAACCUGCCGACGGUGUUCGCGCCAUUCCACUGAUCCACAGGUGGUGAUGUAUCAUCGGGGAAAAAAGACGGCAAGCUAAUAAAGAUGUGUGUUCACAAUACAGGUUACACGAUCAUCGUUAAAAUGUGUUUU